Molecule: ribosomal RNA, 858 nt
Filed under: uncultured bacterium
Lineage: Bacteria
Description: bacterial SSU rRNA
Rfam family: Bacterial small subunit ribosomal RNA
Source: RNAcentral
AGCGGCGGACGGGUGAGUAACGCGUGGGAAUCUGCCCUUUGGUGUGGGACAACCACGGGAAACUGUGGCUAAUACCGCAUGAGCCCGAGAGGGGAAAGCAGCAAUGCGCCGAAGGAUGAGCCCGCGUCGGAUUAGCUUGUUGGCGGGGUAACGGCCCACCAAGGCGAUGAUACGUAGCUGGUCUGAGAGGAUGAUCAGCCACACUGGGACUGAGACACGGCCCAGACUCCUACGGGAGGCAGCAGUGGGGAAUAUUGGACAAUGGGGGAAACCCUGAUCCAGCCAUGCCGCGUGAGUGAUGAAGGCCCUAGGGUUGUAAAGCUCUUUCGGCGGGGACGAUGAUGACGGUACCCGCAGAAGAAGCCCCGGCUAACUUCGUGCCAGCAGCCGCGGUAAUACGAAGGGGGCUAGCGUUGUCCGGAAUUACUGGGCGUAAAGCGCGCGUAGGCGGCCUAGCAAGUCAGGUGUGAAAGCCCGGGGCUCAACCUCGGAAAUGCGCCUGAUACUUCUAAGCUCGAGACCGGAAGAGGAGAGCGGAAUUCCCUGUGUAGAGGUGAAAUUCGUAGAUAUUGGGAAGAACACCAGUGGCGAAGGCGGCUCUCUGGUCCGGUUCUGACGCUGAGGCGCGAAAGCGUGGGGAGCAAACAGGAUUAGAUACCCUCGUAGUCCACGCCGUAAACGAUGAGUGCCAGACGUCGGGGGGGUUCGCCCUUCGGUGUCGACGCUAACGCAUUAAGCUCUCCGCCCUGGGGGAGUACGGCCGCCAGGGUUAAAACUCAAAUGAAUUGACGGGGGCCCGCACAAGCGGUGGAGCAUGUGGUUUAAUUUGACGCAACGCGAAGAACCUUACCAGCCCUU